Elaeis guineensis (African oil palm) is the source of this 2127-nucleotide non-coding RNA. The record is from RefSeq and is a predicted model, not a curated record. Lineage: Eukaryota; Viridiplantae; Streptophyta; Magnoliopsida; Arecales; Arecaceae.
CAAUCCCUCCGCCUGUCUGUCCUCGCCUCUUAUUCAUUUCUCUCUCCUCUCGGAUACUUUUCUCUCGCAUUGCCGUCGUCCCCGGCGCGACCCUAAAACCCUAAAAAUCUUUUUUUCUUCUCCUUCCUUCUUGUCGGAAGGAGAAUCCAUAGAAGAAAGGAAAUCCUCCUCGAUCUCGAUCUCUCUAUAGGGAGGAGAAGGGAAUUUAAGAAGAGGGAGCGAUGGAUUCGGAUCAGGGAAAGCUGUUCAUCGGGGGGAUAUCGUGGGAGACGACGGAGGAGAAGAUGAAGGAGUAUUUCUCCAACUACGGGGAGGUGCUUCAGACGGUGAUCAUGAGGGAUAAGGCGACGGGUCGCCCCAGGGGCUUCGGCUUCGUUGUCUUCGCCGAUCCCUCCAUCCUCGACCGCGUCCUCCAGGACAAGCACAACAUCGACGGUCGGACGGUGGAAGCAAAAAGGGCUCUCUCAAGAGAGGAACAACAGGCCUCCAAAUCUGGAAACCCUAAUGUUGGCAGAAGUGGUGGAGGACCUGUUAGUGGUGGUAACUUUAGGACUAAAAAAAUAUUUGUAGGAGGGUUGCCCCCAACUUUAACAGAAGAAAUAUUUUGUCAGUACUUUCAGAGCUAUGGAGAGGUGGAGGAUGUUGUGGUGAUGUAUGAUCAAAACACCCAUCGUCCUCGAGGGUUUGGUUUUGUCUCUUUUAAAUCAGAAGAUGCUGUUGAUCGAGUUUUACACAAGACCUUCCAUGAGCUCAAUGGAAAACUUGUGGAGGUCAAGCGUGCACUCCCAAAGGAUGCAAACCCUAGCAAUGCUAGUGGCCGUCUAGUAGCUGGAGGUCCCUAUCAAACCAACAGUGCUUCUGGUGUCAAUAUGAGUUCCUAUGAUGGUAGAGCUGAUGCCGGUAGGUAUAUGCAACCACCAGCUGCUGGUGGUGGUUACCCAGCAUAUGGUUCAACAGGCUAUGCUACACCUGGAUAUGGGUAUGGAGCAGCUAACAAUGGUGUAGGAUAUGGAGGUUAUGGUGUUGGUGGCUAUGGAAGUCCUACAGCUGGAUAUGGUGGACCUGCUGGAGCCUAUGGAAAUCCAAAUGCUCCAGCUGCAGGUUAUGCAAGUGGUCCACCAGGUGCACCUCGAAGCCUGUGGAGCAACCAAGCUCCAUCUGCUUAUGGCUCUGCAGGCUAUGGUGCAAAUGCAAGCUAUGGGGCACCAGGUGCAUGGAAUGCUGCAGGUAGUGGUGGAGCAGCCCCACCUGCUGGUCAGUCUCCCAGCGGGACUACUGGAUAUGGGAAUCAGGGUUAUGGGUAUGGGGGUUAUGGUGGAACCGAGGGGUCUUAUGGCAGUCAUGGUGGCUAUGGGCCUGUUGGCGGACGUGGCAGUGGCGGUCCAACUAACAAUCCUGCUGUUGGCCCAGGAGAACAAGGGGCUGGUUCUGGGUAUAUGGGUGGUGGCUAUGGUGAUGCAAGUGGUGGCUCUGGUUAUCCAAAUUCAUGGAGAGCUGACCCUUCUCAAGGAGUGGGUUAUGGAAGUAGCCAAGUCAAUGGGCCUCCUGGUGGGCCAACUGGUUAUGGUGGUGCCUAUGGUGGUGCUCAGUCGAGGCAGGUUCAGCAGCAGUGAUCAUGAUGGUGGAAUCAUAAUUCCACUUUGGAAUUCAGCCUCAAGAAUUGGUUGUUGAAUUUUGUGAAGAGGCCUGCAUCACUUGGUUUUCUUGCCUGUUAGGAGGACUGGCUGUUGCUGAGGAAAGCAGUUUUCUGGGACGGGGGCUGCUGCUCUUGUUCUAUCCUCUCCACCAACAUUGAAGCCUUUCAUCGGGUGAGCUUAUAAAGCACCGAGGAACCUCUUUUCAUAGUCUGGCGAUAACUUGUGCGCUGGAGGAUGCUUUCAAACCUGAUAAUUUGUUUUUAUUCAUCACACUGAAAGUGGCUCUUGACUAAAUCAAUUGUUGAAGGGUGUUGCUUGCACUUCACAGCAGGUGAUCUUUUGAAGUAAAUCAUCCCAUGUCCUUCAUUACCUAUUGGGUAGCCUCAUUCAUUUUUGUUGCUGGUACUUAGGAUUUGUUUAAAAAUUAUUUUAGGGAUUGUUAACGAGUCUUGUGAAAUAAUUGAUUAAAAAUUUGAUUAAACAAAUCUUU